This 901-nucleotide long non-coding RNA is filed under the name Zea mays. Its description in RNAcentral is "long non-coding RNA (ZMAY_LNC002820)". Lineage: Eukaryota; Viridiplantae; Streptophyta; Magnoliopsida; Poales; Poaceae. The record is from RNAcentral.
AGCAUGUGUCCAUGGAUAAAACAACAGUAGAAUUACAAAACCAAAUUGGCAUCAUUCUGAAUUCUGAUUCAAACAAAACGGUAGGAUCGCAAAAACCAAAUUGGGAUCAUAGUAUUAGCAUCGAUCAGGCAGGAUUACAGAAACGAAACCCCCUUGGCGACCCACACAUCACCAAGGAAGGAACGAAGGAAGGAACAACAGACGAUCACAUAAUUAGGCAACCGCAAGCAAUAAAUAAAUAAAUAAAACAACGAUUAAUUAAUUAUUAAUCGGGUGAACCAAACACGAUGCUCCAUCCCAGGUUUCCCGCACUCCGCGCGGUACGUCGCUCAGUGGAGGAAGGAGGCGAGGAAGGAGACGACGAGCGCCGCGGCGGCGGGCACUGCGGCGGCGGCGGCGGCGCUGGCGGAAGGGCCAGCCGCACCGCCGGCCGCGCCGGCGGCCGCGCCGGCGGGCGCCUCGGAGGGCGACUCGGAGGCGACCUCGGCCAGCACGGCGGUGGCGGAGGCGGCGGCGACGAGCGCGGCGCAGAGGACCUUCUUCAUCUCCAUGGCUGCUGGUGCUGGCCGGGUCGCUUGCUGCUGGAUUGGUCCAAGGAAGCCGGCCUCGCGCUCGAGGAGAUGUUAUUAGUUAUUCGGUGGAAUUGGGAGACUGCUUUUCGACGGUGAUCUCUCUCUCAAUUGCUUCUCCUGCUUCAGGACGGGGCGCCGCUUUAUAGGAGCUGCGAGGCGACGGCGCGAGCGGCCGCGAGCGAAGCAAGGGCGGCGGUUCGUUCGCUGCCGGGCUGGCCGUGGGUUUGCUGCAUGCUUGCCGGAAAUAGGGUGGAUUAGCUGGUUAGUUUGCAAAAAAAAAACAAAAAAAAAACUGGAUGGUUGGAGUCGGUUUAGCGGUGGUUCUCCAC